UCAAGUGACUAAGUGUAUGUGGUGGAUGCCUUGGCGAUCAUAGGCGAUGAAGGACGUGUAAGCCUGCGAAAAGCUGCGGGGAGUCGGCAAAAAGACUUUGAUCCGCAGAUGUCCGAAUGAGGAAACUCACCGGGUAACCGGUAUCACAAACUCAAUACAUAGGUUUGUGAAGCGAACGCAGUGAACUGAAACAUCUAAGUAACUGCAGGAAAAGAAAUCAACCGAGAUUGCGGCAGUAGCGGCGAGCGAAACCGCAGCAGCCUAGUUUUUGAUAAUGCAUGGUGACAGCAGAACGGUCUGGAAAGGCCGGCCACAGUGGGUGACAGCCCCGUAUGCGAAGUCCGGUGCAUGGUACUAAAAAGACGAUAAGUAGGGCGGGACACGUGACAUCCUGUCCGAAGACGGGGGGACCAUCCUCCAAGGCUAAAUACUCAUGAUCGACCGAUAGCGAACCAGUACUGUGAAGGAAAGGCGAAAAGAACCCCGGGAGGGGAGUGAAAUAGAACCUGAAACCGCAUACAUACAAACAGUAGGAGCCCUACGGGGUGACUGCGUACCUUUUGCAUAAUGGGUCAGCGACUUACGUUUUGCGGCAAGCUUAACCGAGUAGGGGAGGCGCAGCGAAAGCGAGUUCGAACAGAGCGAUAGAGUCGUAAGGCGUAGACCCGAAACCAGAUGAGCUAACCAUGGCCAGGUUGAAGGUGUGGUAACACACACUGGAGGACCGAACCGACCGGUGUUGCAAAACCGGCGGAUGAGCUGUGGUUAGGGGUGAAAGGCUUAACAAAUCUGGAGAUAGCUGGUUCUCCCCGAAAACUAUUGAGGUAGUGCCUCGUGACUGACUCCGGGGGGUAGAGCACUGUUAUGGCUAGGGGGACAUGGCGUCUUACCAAACCAUGGCAAACUCCGAAUACCCGGAAGUUGAAUCACGGGAGACAGAGCACCGGGUGCUAACGUCCGGACUCAAAAGGGAAACAACCCAGACCGCCGUUUAAGGUCCCAAAUACAGGCUAAGUGGAAAACGAAGUGUGAAGGCUAAGACAGUCAGGAAGUUGGCUUAGAAGCAGCCAUCCUUCAAAGAAAGCGUAAUAGCUCACUGAUCGAGUCCUCAUGCGCGGAAGAUGUAACGGGGCUAAGUCUGUAACCGAAAGCGCGGAUUUGUACGCAAGUACAAGUGGUAGGGGAGCGUUCUGUAAGCCUGCGAAGGUGUGUGGUAACGCAUGCCGGAGGUAUCAGAAGUGCGAAUGCUGACAUGAGUAACGAUAAAGCGGGUGAAAAGCCCGCUCGCCGUAAGCCCAAGGUUUCCUGCUCUACGUUCAUCGGAGCAGGGUGAGUCGGCCCCUAAGGCCAGGCUGAGAAGCGUAGCUGAUGGGAAGCAGAUUAAGAUUUCUGCACCGACGUUAAGUGCGAAGGGGGGACGGAGUUUUGAGUAUCAUCCGGGUGUUGGAUGUCCCGGUUUGUGCGUGUAGGAGGCCGGCAGGCAAAUCCGCCGGCAUAUCUCCGAGACAAAGCAUCGAGCUGCAUUUUGCAGUGAAGUGAUGGGAUGAACUUCCAGGAAAAGCCUCUAAGCUAUAGCUUAAUGUCGACCGUACCGUAAACCGACACAGGUGGGCGAGUUGAAUAUACUCAGGCGCUUGAGAGAACUCGGGAGAAGGAACUCGGCAAAUUGACACCGUAACUUCGGGAUAAGGUGUGCCUUUGUAGUGUGAAGAGUGAAACACUCCGAGCAUGAAGAGGUCACAGAGAAUAGGUGGCUGCAACUGUUUACUAAAAACACAGCACUCUGCAAAGACGAAAGUCGACGUAUAGGGUGUGAUGCCUGCCCGGUGCCGGAAGAUUAAGUGAUGGGGUGAGAGCUCCUGAUCGAAGUCCCGGUAAACGGCGGCCGUAACUAUAACGGUCCUAAGGUAGCGAAAUUCCUUGUCGGGUAAGUUCCGACCUGCACGA
This 1947-nucleotide ribosomal RNA is filed under the name human gut metagenome. RNAcentral's name for it is "bacterial LSU rRNA". It matches the Rfam family "Bacterial large subunit ribosomal RNA", at positions 3 to 1995 of the family's 2925-position model. The record is from RNAcentral.